CACCCUCCUAUCCCCUGCAUACUUGGGACCACUUUUUGCUCAUCCAUCUCAAAGCAUUGGACAGAGGAAAUGCUUCGAUUUCUUUUCUUUUCAGCAGUUUUGGGAGGUGUCCAAUCAGCGGUCCAGCUGGUGGAGUCUGGAGGAGAUGCCAAAAGGCCUGGGGAGUCCCUCCGUCUGUCCUGUCAAGCCUCCGGGUUCACCUUUAGCAGCUUCUGGAUGGAGUGGGUGAGACAGGCUCCUGGGAAAGGCCUGGAAUGGCUGGGAGAAAUAAAUGCACCUUCAUCUACCAUUAACUACUCAAACAAAGUGAAGGGACGAUUCACCAUCUCCAGGGACAAUUCAAACAGCCUCCUCUACUUGCAAAUGAACAACCUGGAAGCUGGAGACACGGCUGUGUAUUACUGUGCAAGAGGCACAGUGAAAGGAAGUGAAUCUGAAGCCUGGCAAAAACCUUCUGUUGCUCCCAGCUGCUCUCUGGGUUGA
Molecule: non-coding RNA, 483 nt
Organism: Zootoca vivipara (common lizard)
Lineage: Eukaryota; Metazoa; Chordata; Lepidosauria; Squamata; Lacertidae
Source: the annotation of a RefSeq genome assembly